Molecule: long non-coding RNA, 2515 nt
Organism: Oncorhynchus tshawytscha (Chinook salmon)
Lineage: Eukaryota; Metazoa; Chordata; Actinopteri; Salmoniformes; Salmonidae
Source: Ensembl
GCAGAGCAAGGGGAACUUUAGGUCUCAGAGCGAGUGACAUGACCUGAUUGAAACGCUUUUAACUCGGUUACACAUGCACAUGUAUUAGUGAUCCUAAUAUUGGGCCUAAGCUUUCAUGGCUAACCAUCUAACAAUUCGUGUUUGGUGAGGCCAAUGUAGUGAAAGUAAUAUGUGUAACGUUACAAUUGGUUAUAAAAGAGAUUAACUACAAAAAACACUCGGAAUGCAUCAGAUCACCUAUCCCGUUGUUUGAUGUUUGUGUAGAGUUUGGCUCCUUGUUUGCACAUUGAUAGGGGACAUAAGUCAAACUUAAUUUGGUUUAGCACUUACAAGCACUCCUUGUAAUUCUAGUAAUCAAUUAAUUAUUAAACAAAAGUGUACAAUGUAUAGAAUCAAACAUAUUUUUGAUUUACUUGUACUAUCACAAUUUAUUUUAGAACACAAGUGUUAAUUUAUAGGCGGCGGCAUCAUUUCAGGAAGUGGCUUGAUCAGGACUGUGCUUCUGAAACUCUACUUCAUUCAACAGCUUUCCAAGCUGGAGUGAGUAGCUUGGCAAAAUAUGAUUGGAAAUCCAAAAGCAUUAUUCUUCAAUGGAUGAAGUGGAACUGUUGCUCUGGAGUUCAUGAGACUGACUGGUGUCUGUGGACCUCAAGAAGACAUUUUAUGAAGGCCUGGACAGUCUUGACAAAGACAGUUCCAAUCAAAGGAAGAGAAACGCUGUGCUCCGAGGCUUGCCAUACUUCCUGCGAGAAGACCCUACCAAUUUUUUUUAAGACGUGAGAAGACAACUGAUUCUGAGGAAGGCACCCGCGGAGUGAAAAUCGGUGUCGUUGUGGAUGGAGCUGAAGCAGGUGACCCAAUGCCAGCUCAUGUGGGUACAUGAGCUUCACAAUGUCCCAAAUGCCUUUGCCACUUUGAUUGGACUUCUUUAAUGUCUGAAUAUGGAUUACUCAAAAUGUUUGAGGUCUACUUUUGAGGUAGUUCAGAAAAUAUUCUUGAAGAUUGGUGCAGAAAACUACAGCAAAGGUCCAUAGGCUGAACCGUCUUCUUCAUUAAGACAACUAAUUAGUGUGUUUUUGUUUUACUCGCAGUAGUUGAGUUCAUUCCUCGGACAACGAUGCUGUUAUUUGCCUAAAUCUUACAAAUCUCCGUUUUGGGAAGUCUUAAGUUACCCUAUUUUUAUGUGUGACCUUCAGUCUACAAACUGAAGGUCAAAAAAGUGCAUUCUGAAAAUGUUUACACCAUGUUAGAUUUUUUCACACUCAACACCAACUUGUCAUAUAAACCGUUCUGAAGGUUGUCAUUUCUCAGUGUUUUAAUUUUUAUUUACCGUGCCAUAACCAUGUUUCAAUAGUUCCAUUUACAAGUGUAUGGGUUUCUUGGACAGUAAAAAAAAAAGUUUGACAAAACAUUUAUCUUUAUAAAAAAAAAUCUUAGGUGAUAUUGGUUAAGACCAAUUAGUGACAGCAGAAUUUGGAUUCCUGUUUAAAUGCACCCAAAGACAUGCACCUAAAAACAUGCAUUGUUAGAUUUUUUUUCUCUCAUGACAAUCAAAAUGCGUUCUAGGGAACAAUACAUCGUUGCAAAUGUAUUUGUUUGUUAAUACAUAGUGUAAUAAAUGUUCUGAAAUACACAAUAGGACUAUUUUGUUGUUAUUACAAGCUAGAUGGAAUUAAUUGAUUUCGAUGUAAGUUGUUGAAUCGAUCAAUGAACUCUUGAUAGUAAAUCAAUCAUUGGAAAUAUAAAGCCAUUUUAAAAUGGAGAUCAGCUUUACUAAAUCUGAACUUUGUUCAACUGUACAUACUGGGUUAUUUUAAGUUUACAUAUCUUAUUAAAGUAAUUUUGUUGAGUUAGAACAGUGGUUCUCUACUUGCAGCCUGUGGCAAGCUUGUCUGUUAUGUCAUUAAUAGUAUAGUUAUUUAUUUGCUUGACUUGCUCAUAGUCACAGUGUAGCACCACCAGCCAAACAGGUUGAGAACUGUUACAAUAACGCAAUGAAGUAGGCUUGACUUUAAUUGUUAAGUCUUUUAAAUGCUCAGAGCCUUUUUCAUGCUCAGAGCACUUAACAUGUCACGUUACCCUUGCUUAGACCAUUCUGUUAUGUAACCUUUAAAUGUAGUAAUGAAAACUGUAUUACUAGUUACAAUAACUUAAUUGCAAGUUGACUUAACAAAAUGUGAAAUUAAUUCAACUAAAAAUGGUCGGUUAUACUGACAUGAUGAUGUGGACUUAAAUGUUUUUUAUUUGUCAACAGUAAUGUAGCUUUAGUUAUUAGAACUCCACAUUUGUUAACAUAAAGGUUUAAGUUUUUUCAAAUAAUGUUAAAUGAACAAUUAACAAAUGUCAAAUUAACCGUCUAUUAUUAGUCAAAAUAAAUGUAAUAAAAGCUAGGGUAACGUGAAGUACUCUGAGCUUGAAAAAGGCAAUGCAACCAGAUCACUGGAAAUAAUAAGUUGAAACAAUAAAUCAUUUUUAUAGCCUACUUGGUCCCUUCGUGACAAUUUCAACCCUUUCA